UACGGGGGGGGCAAGCGUUGUCCGGAUUUAUUGGGCGUAAAGAGCUCGUAGGCGGUCUGUCGCGUCGGCUGUGAAAUCCCGAGGCUCAACCUCGGGUCUGCAGUCGAUACGGGCAAACUGGAGUGUUGCAGGGGAGACUGGAAUUCCUGGUGUAGCGGUGAAAUGCGCAGAUAUCAGGAGGAACACCAGUGGCGAAGGCGGGUCUCUGGGCAACAACUGACGCUGGGGAGCGAAAGCGUGGGGAGCAAACAGG
This 253-nucleotide ribosomal RNA is filed under the name uncultured bacterium. RNAcentral's name for it is "partial 16S ribosomal RNA". It matches the Rfam family "Bacterial small subunit ribosomal RNA", at positions 524 to 776 of the family's 1533-position model. The record is from RNAcentral.